AUUGAACGCUGGCGGAAUGCUUUACACAUGCAAGUCGAACGGUAACAGGUCUUCGGAUGCUGACGAGUGGCGAACGGGUGAGUAAUAUAUCGGAACGUGCCCAGUCGUGGGGGAUAACGUAGCGAAAGUUACGCUAAUACCGCAUACGAUCUAUGGAUGAAAGCGGGGGAUCGCAAGACCUCGCGCGAUUGGAGCGGCCGAUAUCAGAUUAGGUAGUUGGUGGGGUAAAGGCUCACCAAGCCAACGAUCUGUAGCUGGUCUGAGAGGACGACCAGCCACACUGGAACUGAGACACGGUCCAGACUCCUACGGGAGGCAGCAGUGGGGAAUUUUGGACAAUGGACGCAAGUCUGAUCCAACCAUUCCGCGUGCAGGACGAAGGCCUUCGGGUUGUAAACUGCUUUUGUACAGGAAGAAACGACUCUUGCGAGAGGCAUUGACGGUACUGUAUGAAUAAGCACCGGCUAACUCCGUG
This 475-nucleotide ribosomal RNA is filed under the name uncultured bacterium. RNAcentral's name for it is "bacterial SSU rRNA". It matches the Rfam family "Bacterial small subunit ribosomal RNA", at positions 30 to 507 of the family's 1533-position model. The record is from RNAcentral.